AAUAAACAAUUAUUGUUUUAGCUCGUAUCAUGGCCUCGAAGUUAAAAUUUGGAAACCGUUGCCAACGAGAUAGAGCACAUUCGGCACCCGAACUCCAAAAUCACGCUCGCGCUGGAUGUAAUGCAUAACAAGCGCGCACGACAUUACGUGUGCCUAAAUGUGCUCUAGCUGCGUAAGUUGUUCUCAGCCCACGUAGAACGACAAACCGAGAAGCCACAGUCCAAACUUUCAUUCAUUUCUGGUUAUGCUACACACAUGUAAACUUUCCACUGAAGAAGCUCUUUGCGUUUAGCUGUGUGCCUUUCAUAUCCAUCGUUUUUUUUUC
Aedes albopictus (Asian tiger mosquito) is the source of this 325-nucleotide long non-coding RNA. RefSeq lists it as uncharacterized. The transcript has 2 exons. Lineage: Eukaryota; Metazoa; Arthropoda; Insecta; Diptera; Culicidae. The record is from RefSeq and is a predicted model, not a curated record.